RNAcentral lists this ribosomal RNA (376 nucleotides) under uncultured organism. RNAcentral describes it as "partial 16S ribosomal RNA". It matches the Rfam family "Bacterial small subunit ribosomal RNA", at positions 527 to 897 of the family's 1533-position model. The record is from RNAcentral.
GUAGGUGGCAAGCGUUGUCCGGGAAUUAUUGGGGCGUAAAGCGCGCGCAGGCGGUUCUUUAAGUCUGAUGUGAAAGCCCACGGGCUCAACCGUGGAGGGUCAUUGGAAACUGGAGAACUUGAGUACAGAAGAGGAAAGCGGAAUUCCACGUGUAGCGGUGAAAUGCGUAGAGAUGUGGAGGAACACCAGUGGCGAAGGCGGCUUUCUGGUCUGUAACUGACGCUGAGGCGCGAAAGCGUGGGGAGCAAACAGGAUUAGAUACCCUGGUAGUCCACGCCGUAAACGAUGAGUGCUAAGUGUUAGGGGGUUUCCGCCCCUUAGCGCUGCAGCUAACGCAUUAAGCACUCCGCCUGGGGAGUACGGCCGCAAAGGCUGA